This 74-nucleotide transfer RNA is filed under the name Acidobacteriota bacterium. RNAcentral describes it as "Acidobacteria bacterium (marine sediment metagenome) tRNA-Ala". It matches the Rfam family "tRNA". From Rfam's summary of the family: Transfer RNA (tRNA) molecules are approximately 80 nucleotides in length. Their secondary structure includes four short double-helical elements and three loops (D, anti-codon, and T loops). RNAcentral also lists the same sequence under 1 other name. The record is from RNAcentral. Lineage: Bacteria; Pseudomonadati; Acidobacteriota.
GGGGCCGUGGCGUAACAGGAGCGUCCGUGGUUUGCACCCACGGGGUCCGGGUUCGAAUCCCGGCGGUUCCACCA